UGUGUGUUCUACUUCAUACCUUUCAGACUGUCAGUACAGUUGAAAGUAUGGAUUAUAUCCCUCGCACUCCGCGCAGGUUAAGUAAUAAUAACAACUAAAUCACGCAGGUGACGUGACAGCGUGGGAGGACAUAUAAAACCCGAAUCACGGGGCUCUGGGCCUGGUCGGGUGUCCAUAGUAUAUCCCUCGCGUCCGACUCAUUGAAGAAGAACUCCUCGUCCAAUUUGAGACCCAGGUUCGUAACCGGGUCCUGACAUGCCCUGCACCUUCUGAAGAUUUUACAAGGUCAACGUCGUAUCCUGCCACACCAUGAGCUCUGCCGUUCUUCCAGUGGUAGUGGUGCAUUAAUCAGAGAAAUAAGUCUAAUUUAUGCAACAGAACACACCAGAAGACUAGGACUACCUAUCAUAUGUUGCAGAGAUGGAGAUGAAGAUAACCAUCCUGGUACUAAUUUUGGGAGUCUCUCUCACGGCUGCAGCCUUCGAAUUGAAAGCCAUGGUUGGUCAGGAGGGCAGGUUGAGAUGGGAACAUGGUGUGGAGAAUGCUAACCGCAUCAGGUGGGAACACGAUAAAAGACAGAUUGCCUACUGGGCUGACAGCACCUUCAAGCUGGAACCAGGUUACAAUCUGACUAGUGGGGAAAGCUGGACCACCCUGGUAAUCAACAAUGUCACCAAGGAAGAUGCUGGGAACAACACCUGUCAGGCGCACAUCAUAUUCGGCCCUCCUGAGGCGACCGGGAGGUCGCUCUUGACUCAUCACUACUCCAGCCCUUUUGAUUUUAGUGUGCACUUGUUCAUUUCUCUUUGUGCAUUUAAGGGACAGAUCUAAAUUUACUGGGGGGUGGGGGACACUGGUCCAACUCAAGGUGUCAUUAAAAAAAUGCACCCCCUCCCCAAUGUUAAAAAUAUUUUUACAAGACCCUCCAAUUGUACUGUAAAAUAAAUGUAACACCCUCCUCUUUAAUAGAAUUAUCUCAAAAUAAUGUUAAUGACCACAAAUAACAAGAACUGUAGUGACCCUGUAUUUAUAAACAUUGAUAUCAGCUUUGCCACUUCAGCAUGCUUUCGUGGCACAGUCGAUGCCACGCAGGGCUAUGGGCCAGAAGGUUGCGGGUUCGACCGACCACCACAGAGGAGCUCACUCUCCCUGCCUGUUUCAUUACUUCACGAUCAGAGCCGGUUGUAGACAAUGAUCAGCAAGGAGGGAAUCAGAUUUUCAACAUUUUGAUGUCAUAUUUAUAAUUAUAUAAAAUACAUGCAACUAAUUCUCCACCAAAAUAUUUCUGUGCCAAUGCACCACACAACCAAUAAACAAAAUAUACCAAUACACAUACACCUUAGCCAAAUAUAUUUAAACUCAGUUGUUCACAAUUCCUGACAUUUAAUCCAAGUAAAAAUUCCCUGUCUUAGAUCAGUUAGGAUCACCACUUUAUUUUAAGAAUGUGUUAUGUCAGAAUAAUAGUAGAGAGAAUGCUUUAUUUCAGCUUUUAUUUAUUUCAUCACAUUCCCAGUGGGUCAGACGUUUGCAUACACUCAAUUAGUAUUUGGUAGCAUUGCCUUUAAAUUGUUUAACUUGAGCCAAACGUUUUGGGUAGCCUUCCACAAGCUCCCCACAAUAAGUUGGGUGAAUUUUGGCCCAUUCCUCCUGACAGAGCUGGUGUAACUGAGUCAGGUUUGUAGGCCUCCUUGCUUGCACACGCUUUUUCAGUUCUGCCCACAAAUUUAUAGGAUUGAGGCCAGGGCUUUGUGAUGGCCACUCCAAUAGCUUGACUUAGUUGUCCUUAAGCCAUUUUGCCACAACUUUGGGAGUAUGCUUGGGGUCAUUGUCCAUUUGGAAGCCCCAUUUGCGACCAAGCUUUAACUUCCUGACUGAUGUCUUGAGAUGUUGCUUCAAUAUAUCCACAUAAUUUCCUGCCUCCUGAUGCCAUAUAUUUUGUGAAGUGCACCAGCCCCUCCUACAGCAAAGCACCCCACAACAUGAUGCUGCUACCCCCGUGCAUCACGUUUGGGAGGGUGGUUCUUCAGCUUGCAAGCCUCCCUCGUUUUUCCUCCAAACAUAACGAUGGUCACUGUGGCCAAACAGUUCUAUUUUUGUUUCAUCAGACCAGAGGACAUUUCUCCAAAAAGUAAGAUCUUUGUCCCCAUGUGCAGUUGCAAACUGUAGUCUGGCUUUUAUUAAUGGCGGUUUUGGAGCAGUGGCUUCUUCCUUGCUGAGCGGCCUUUCCAGUUAUGUUGACAUAGGACUCGUUUUACUGUGGAUAUAGAUACUUUUGUACCGUUUUCCACCAGCAUCUUCACAAGGUCCUUUGCUCUUGUUCUGAGAUUGAUUUGCACUUUUCACCCCAAAGUACGUUCAUCUCUAGGAGACAGAAUACGUCUCCUUCCUGAGCGGUAUGACGGCUGCGUGGUCCCAUGGUGUUUAUACUUGAAUACUAUUGUUUGUUCAGAUGAACGUGGUACCUUCAGGCAUUUGGAAAUUUCUCCAAAGGAUGAACCAGACUUGUGGAGGUCUACAAAAAAAAAUUCUGAGGUCUUGGCUGAUUUUUUUUUUUUUCCCCAUGAUGUCAAGCUAAUAUUAACUGAGUUUGAAGGUAGGCCUUGAAAUACAUCCACAGGUACACCUCCAAUUGACUCAAAUGAUUUCAGAAGCUUCUAAAGCCAUCAUAAACUUUCUGUCCAAAAAUGAUGCAGAAAAAUUAAUCCAUGCUUUUGUUACUUCUAGGUUAGACUACUGCAAUGCUCUACUUUCCAGCUACCCGGAUAAAGCACUAAAUAAACUUCUGCUAGAAUCCUGACUAGAACCCAAAAAAUUAUAUCAUAUUACUCCAGUGCUAGCCUCCAUACACUGGCUUCCUGUCAAGGCAAGGUCUGAUUUCAAGGUUUUAGUGCCAUGUACGCCGGCCCGAGGAGACGCACUGGAGACCAGAUGCGUAGAGCCAGCUUCAUGGCACCUGGCUCGAUGCCCACUCUAGCCCGGCCGACGGGCUAUGCACACGCACCGGGGACACCUUGCGCUCCACCGCAUAACACAGUGCCUGCCUGGUCCCUCUCGCUCUCCGGUAAGCACGGGGAGUUGGCGCAGGCCUCCUACCUGCCUUAGCCACACUCCCCGUGUGCCACACUCCCCAUACAUUUGUGGGGCUGCCUCUCGGGCUUCCUUGCCAGCCGUGUUCCCUCGUAUCGCUGGCUCCUCUCUCCGGCUGCCUCUGCUCUCCUAGCUGCCUCCACCUGUUCCCAUGGGAGGCGAUCCCUUCCAGCCAGGAUCUCCUCCCAUGUGUAGCAACCCUUGCCGCCCAAAACGUCCUCCCAUGUCCAGGAGUCCUGAAAGUCGCUGCUACGCGUUACCACACUGCUUGGUCCUUUUGUGAUGGGUGGUUCUGUAAGGGUUGUCGUCGGUGGAAGAAGGAGAGGACCAAAGUGCAGCGUUGUUAGUGUUCAUCUUUUUAAUAAGAAACUGAACACUUCAAAAAUACAAAACAACAAAGUGACAACCGAAACAGUUCUGUCUGAUGCAUACCACACAUAGACUGAAAAUAACCACCCACAAAACACAAAGGAAACAGGCUACCUAAAUAUGGUUCUCAAUCAGGGACAACGAAAGACAGCUGCCUCUGAUUGAGAACCAUAUCAGGCCAAACACAGAAAUAGAAAAUAUAGAAAAACUAACAUAGACUGCCCACCCCAACUCACCCCUGACCAUACUAAAUAAAGACAAUACAAAGGAAUAAAGGUCAGAACGUGACAGUGACAGAAUGUAAACUUAUGACCCACUGGAAUUGUGAUACAGUGAGUUAUAAGAGAAAUAAUCAGUUGUAAACAAUUGUUGGAAAAAUUACUUGUGUCAUGUACACAGUAGAUGUCUUAACUAACUUGCCAAAAAUAUAGUUUGUUAAAAUUAACAAGAACUUUGUGGAGUGGUUGAAAAAUGUGUUUUAAUGACUCAAACCUAAGUGUAUGUAAACUUCCGACUUCAACUGUAUAUAUAUGUACUAGCCUACCUCUUUCAUGUAAUUAGCCAGUUAUUAGCCUUAUAUUUACACUACCAAAAGUUUACACAAGACCAAAAUUUGUGGACAACUGCUUGCCAAACAUCUCAUUCCAAAAUAAUGGGCAUUAAUUCAUAUGGAGUUGCUACCCCCUUUGCUGCCAUAACAGCCUCCACUCUUCUGUGAAGGCUUUCCACUAGAUGUUGGAACAUUGCUGCGUGGACUCGCUUCCAUUCAGUCACAAGAGCAUUAGUGAUUUCACGCACUGAUGUUGAUCAAUCAGGCCUGGUUCGUAGUCGGCAUUCCAAUUCAUCCCAAAGGUGUUCGAUGGGGUUGAGGUCAGGGCUCUUUGCAGGCCAGUCAAGUUCUUCCAAACCAUUUCUGUAUGGACAUCGCUUUGUGCACGGGGUAAUUGUCAUGCUGAAGCAGAAAGGGCCUUCCCCAAAUGGUUGCCACAAAGUUGGAAGCACAGAAUUAUCUAGAAUGUCAUUGUAUGCUGUAGUAUUCAGAUUUUCCUUCACUGGAACUAAGUGGCCUAGCCCGAACCAUGAAAAACAGCCCCAGACCAUUAUUCCCCCUCCACCAAAUGUUAUAGUUGGCAAUAUGCAUUGGGGCAGGUAGCGUUCUCCUGGCAUCCGCCUAACCCAGAUUCGUCAUUCAGACUACCAGAUGGUGAAGUGUGAUUCAUCACUCCAGAGAACGCGUUUAUACUGCUCCAGAGUCCAAUGGUUGGCGAGCUUUACACCACUCCAGCCGAUGGAAACCAAUUUCAUGAAGCUCCCGACAAAACAGUUAUUGUGCUGACUUUGCUUAAAAACGCUCCUUAGCUGUCUCAGGAAAAACAAGACUAGAUUUUUUGUUGUUGUUGCAUUCCUUAUACUAAUUGACUAUUGGAAGAGGGAUGCUAGCUCUUGUUUGCUGAAUGUUAAAUACAAGCCAAUAGAACUCACAGCCACGGGCCGAGGAGUUUGAUAGAAGAGAGAACGUGGGAUGGCGGUAGGCUGUAGCAGUUAUUUGUUCAGACCCGUAAUCAUUAAAUCUUAGCGAAGAUAAAAUAUUUCCGUCUACAUCUCAUUCUAGUCCUAUAUUAUUCAAGUAUGUCAUUACAAUGAUGAAGAUAAGGAAAACAAAACGUAUUCAAUGUAACUGUUGAAAGCGAGUAAGGAAUGAAGAAAUAGAAAGAGGAGGCAGGCUAAUACGCACAUCGCACAACAUUAGGGGGGAUAUGAAAGGUAUGCAUGCCUCAGCCUACUAAUUAUACGUUUUAUUAUAUUUCAACAUUUUAAAUCAAAUGUGUUAGCCUAUAAUUGUAACGUUGUUGGCCGCCUGCACCAGCAUCACACGUUCUCUCCCAGAUUCUUGGUCUGAAAGAGUGCUUAAUCCCAGUCCAUAUAAUACAGUUUAAUACAAUACUACCACACUCAAAAAGAUGAGUUUAUUGGAGUUUGUUUCAUUUACUUACACAGGAGAGCAUAGCUGCAUCUAUGGGUUUU
Long non-coding RNA from Oncorhynchus masou masou (cherry salmon), 5481 nucleotides. RefSeq lists it as uncharacterized. Lineage: Eukaryota; Metazoa; Chordata; Actinopteri; Salmoniformes; Salmonidae. The transcript is spliced from 6 exons. The record is from RefSeq and is a predicted model, not a curated record.